RNAcentral lists this ribosomal RNA (800 nucleotides) under Bacillus stratosphericus. RNAcentral's name for it is "bacterial SSU rRNA". It matches the Rfam family "Bacterial small subunit ribosomal RNA", at positions 112 to 897 of the family's 1533-position model. The record is from RNAcentral. Lineage: Bacteria; Bacillati; Bacillota; Bacilli; Caryophanales; Bacillaceae.
AACACGUGGGUAACCUGCCUGUAAGACUGGGAUAACUCCGGGAAACCGGAGCUAAUACCGGAUAGUUCCUUGAACCGCAUGGUUCAAGGAUGAAAGACGGUUUCGGCUGUCACUUACAGAUGGACCCGCGGCGCAUUAGCUAGUUGGUGAGGUAACGGCUCACCAAGGCGACGAUGCGUAGCCGACCUGAGAGGGUGAUCGGCCACACUGGGACUGAGACACGGCCCAGACUCCUACGGGAGGCAGCAGUAGGGAAUCUUCCGCAAUGGACGAAAGUCUGACGGAGCAACGCCGCGUGAGUGAUGAAGGUUUUCGGAUCGUAAAGCUCUGUUGUUAGGGAAGAACAAGUGCAAGAGUAACUGCUUGCACCUUGACGGUACCUAACCAGAAAGCCACGGCUAACUACGUGCCAGCAGCCGCGGUAAUACGUAGGUGGCAAGCGUUGUCCGGAAUUAUUGGGCGUAAAGGGCUCGCAGGCGGUUUCUUAAGUCUGAUGUGAAAGCCCCCGGCUCAACCGGGGAGGGUCAUUGGAAACUGGGAAACUUGAGUGCAGAAGAGGAGAGUGGAAUUCCACGUGUAGCGGUGAAAUGCGUAGAGAUGUGGAGGAACACCAGUGGCGAAGGCGACUCUCUGGUCUGUAACUGACGCUGAGGAGCGAAAGCGUGGGGAGCGAACAGGAUUAGAUACCCUGGUAGUCCACGCCGUAAACGAUGAGUGCUAAGUGUUAGGGGGUUUCCGCCCCUUAGUGCUGCAGCUAACGCAUUAAGCACUCCGCCUGGGGAGUACGGUCGCAAGACUGA